Molecule: long non-coding RNA, 4490 nt
Organism: Astatotilapia calliptera (eastern happy)
Lineage: Eukaryota; Metazoa; Chordata; Actinopteri; Cichliformes; Cichlidae
Source: Ensembl
CAAAAUACAGUAAAAGAUCUCCUUGAAUGUUUCAGAUAAAAUGGAAAACAGACUCAUGCAGUAAAUAUUCUUUUAUUGGACAGAAAACUGUGCAGUAUAAUUUACUUGAGAUGUUGAAGAUAUGAGAGCAUUAAACAGGCUGAUGUUUGGAAGAGGCUCUGACAGGAGAGAGAUGAUACAGAAACAUGGCAUCCUUAUAAAAUACUGACACACUUUAUGAACGGACAACUUUUCACAGCUCUUUGAACAUUUAAAUGAGCUGCAUACUUUCCCCACUGAAACCAGCACAAUCCCUCUGUGAUGAAAACAAUAUUUGAACUAAAUGUACUGUGGAUAAAUCAAAGCAUUAUCAAAGUUGUCCGUGGUUCCCUUAUUUUUACAGACUACAGAGAGCUGUCUGUUGUCCCCCUGUUCUCCUCUAUAUCUCUCAGUUGAUGCUGGCUCCUUUUUCUCCUCCUCUUCCUCACACACUGUCCUGGUGUCUCAUCAGGGGUGGAGAGCCUCUGUCACGUCUCACCUUCUCAAUUCUGACUCUGGACACUUGCAGAAGGAAAUCAACCAUGGCAGUUAGCAACUAAAGCAGCACAACUAAAACAGGACACAGGAUCCUGCAGAACAUUGGUCUUUAUAACAAAGGUGACAACUCAGGUUGUUUGAUAUAAGCCUGACAAAAACAGCAGAGAAACAGGAGGAGGACUUCUCCAUCUACUGUCUCUCUCAUUAGUGGUUUAAACAGGGUGAGAGCUCUUUUAAGGACAAACUUCAGCACUGCAUGGUUGAGUCUGUGUCCUCACCACAGUUCGCGGGCCACAUAUUUGGUGAACCGUCUCAUACAUGCCAACCCUCCCGACUUUUCCGGGAGAAUCCCGCAUUUCAGAGCCCCUCCUGAAAACCUCCCGGAGCCACCAUUCUCCCGAAUUUCUCCCGAAUUUCAACCCGGACAACAAAAUUGAAAAAACAUAUGGCAGAAUUCAUAGCGCGGCCCAGCCAAUUCCAGUUUCCAACAAUGGCGGCAGCUUGUAGUUUUAAUAUUACUCUUAUUUCUCUUUCUGGGUCACAAAAUAAACUUUUAAACUAUUUUCAGGCGAGAAUGUAGCUGUGUAAACUUCAAAUCUCUGAGACGGCGAGAACACCGGACUCCCGGCACAUCGUUUUCAACCCCCCGCGGUCUUUCGCUACUCGGGUUAAACAGGAUAUAUAAGUCACUUCGAUAACUUCAAAAUGUUCUUGUUUGGCUUUUCCAGUGUUUUACUUGUUCGUGAGUAAAUCGUUUUGGCUGAGAUUAAAGUUACUCGAUUCGAUUAAAUGUAACUUUAUUAAUCCCUCGGGAGGGGUCCUCUGGGGUUUUCACAAAGCUGAAUAAACGUCAAACAGAAAACUGAUUAAACAAAGUGUGAGACGGUGGAGAAUUGACGCCAGCGCCCGGUUAUAUUUUAGACAGCAAGGAGCAGACGCAGUUUCACUCCACCGAGGGAGCUCGUGACGUACUACGCGGCUUUCUUUAGACCGCGAAGGCCGGGUCCUCAGGUGGAAGCAGCCUCUGAAUUUGGACACCCCCGCUGUUUCCGGCCAGCCAAUAAUAACGGUGACAUUUAACGUAUUUUGUCGAAUAAAUAAACACUGUAAAAUAUAUUUGCCCCCCCCCAACAGCCCUUUGAAUGUUGGCAAGUAUGAGCCGUCUGCUCGGUGUUUCCUAAAACGUUAAAGCACGUUUGGCUUCACACUGACAAACAGACCCAGCUUCGGCACAAACCUAAACUAACUAACCGACCAAAGAGCCGCGUUAAGUGGCGAUAUCACUAACGUCACGUAACUUAGCCGAAGGUUAGCUAAAUUUGACUUUGUAAGACUUUUUCAUUAUGCUAACAUUUGUGAUAUGACUGCACUAUGCUGCUGUUGUUGACUCCACCUAAUUCUACAAUUCUUUCAUUAUGCUAACAUGUGUCCUGGUGUAUAUAUGAAGUGGGAUAAAAACCCAGAACUAACUUUUAAGAGUUUAUUUCUUCUCCGCUUCGACCGUCGGCCAUUUCCCCAAAACGUCCUCCAACCUAUGAUUCCAAUGAAUCCUGGUGGGUCACGAACUGCUUUUAAGCAUCUUGUCAUCGUCGUUCCAACAGAGCGUGUUUGUUUUGAUUCGUAGACCCCGAAAAUGGUGCCGGGCUCCCACAAUGCAUUGCGGCGUGCCGUCAACUCCAAAGCGUCAUUCAAAUCUGUGAGCGCGGGCAAGGAACGCCGCCUCUCCGCGUGCGUUUCUUGUGACGUCACUGGCAGAUCAAAGGCGUUCGCGCUUGCUGUGACCUGUCAGUAACGUCACAGACAACCGAGCCUAUAAAUAACGGCUCUCAGACAGAAAAAUCAGAACUGAUGCUCAUCUGUUUGCAAAACGUUCAGCAGUCGGCGCUCUGUAAUACAAGAAAAUUCUCACACGCUCAGACGAAGAAAAUCAAAUUUGUGACACAACAAUGGAAACAUUAAAUGAAAAUUCAAUGGUGGUCACACCAGACCAGAUUAUCCCGCCAAUCAACAGGUGCUUUGAAAGGCUCUCUGAAGUUCAGUGGAGCAUUAUAGAAAAUGGAAAAUGCGACUCCAGCAUCCAUGCCGUGCUCGCUGAAAUGAUUUCUGAAAUCAUUCAGAUCGCCUCUGCCAGCAUCCUGGAAAUAGCCCUUCCUGUUAUUCAGGAACCCAUGAUAAGGGAAGAGCUUAUGGAUGAGGGGAAAAUAAGGGUGUCCCUCGGAGACUCGAUCUCAGCUGCCAUCGCCGGCGCUCUUAAUGUCUCAAAACAGCAAGAUAAGAGCGCUGACAAGCUGACGCUGAUGGUUGAGGAAGAGAUCUCAGAAAAGGUCAGCUCAACCAUUGCACUGAUUGAAAAAAGCCCCGAUUUCCCAGUAGACCCUGCCGUUUAUGUUAGCGGCAAAUUUAGUAGUAUUAAGAAACUACACCGCAUGGUUUGUUGCGCUGCCUCAUGCCUGAAAAGGUAUGCAGCAUGUAAGCUGCGCUGCCAGUGUGGGACAAAUGGGUCUCAUUCCAGUACAGAACGUACUGGUUCAAAAAUAUCAGUGCAAUCAGCAAUCGCAGAGAUUUCUGUUAUUCUGUCAACAAGGAGCUCAGAUGGAGAGAUGACAGGAAAAGAUAAAGAUGAGGUCCCAGAAGAAUCAGCUGUAACAGCACAAAGCAAAAUAAAACCCACUGCAGAAACACAAAGUAUCCAGGCUCCAACCCCAGUAGAAAUGGUUGCAGCUGACAUCGUAGGUGAGAUACUUGCUAACAUGGAUUCAAGCAGUGAAGAGCUCUGUGAGAAAUGUAACUUACCCAAACCUGCCUUUAAUGCAGGCUUAAUUAUCCACAAGGUGAGACACUUCUUCUCCAAAUGUGUGCCAUCCACCUCACAUGCCAGGCUCAAAGCACGCAAACACAACUUUUCCAUGUUUGCAAAAAAACAAUUUGAAAAAAUGAAAACAGAGCUGAAAAAAAGAAUAAAGGCAAACAGGAAACAUUUUGUUUGUCUACAAAACAUUUGCAGCCACCCCAAGAAGGAAACUGCGCCCUCCAAUGAAAGUAUAGUUUUCAUUCUCCCAGGGUCAGUACCUGAAACGGCUGCUCCCCAGAGUACAGAGGCUCAUCGCUCCCCUUCUCGACAUACGGCAAGCCUGGGAACCGCAAUUAAACGUUCUUCUUCAGUCGACUUUAACGUCAUUAGAUCAGACGUUAAUCAGUUAUUUGACAAAUUAACAAAGAAAGAAGAACUCUUCCUCAUCGAUAAGACCUUGGGGGACUUUAAAAAUAGUGGGCAUAUCAGGAAUUUUACGGAGGACUUAGUGGCAAACCUGUUUGAUCUACUUACGGUGGAUCGAGGCUAUCAAAUCCCCAUACCUCUAAUGGGUAGGUCCCUCUCAGACACGGUCAUCUCCAGGACGCCACAAUCAGUAGAGGGCUCAAAGCGUCGCAUUUCAUCUGAAGUCCUCUAUGUCCUCAUAGAUGACACAGUAGAAAGGUUUUUGCAGAAGCUUUUACUCUGGGUGGAGAAUGAAGAGAAAGAUCAAAUUGUUCAAAUGGACAAGAUUUCUGGGGCCCUGGAAGACAUCCACAACUUUAUUAAAAGAACACAGACCACAACACAGGAGAAAAGCCCUGCUUCAGAUGGCAGAGGAAAAGAAUCUGAUGCAUCACUUCCAACACCAAAACCUGGGAGCAUUUCUCCAGAAAAAUGCUCUGUGGCAUCUGAAAAACCACCUCGAACGCCAAAAACUGGGAGCAUUUCUCCAGGUAGAUGCUCUGUGGCAUCUGAAAAACCACCUCAAAUGCCAAAAACUGGGAGCAUUUCUCCAGGUAGAUGCUCUGUGGCAUCUGAAAAACCACCUCGAACGCCAAAAACUGGGAGCAUUUCUCCAGAAAAAUCAUCUGGAGCCUUGAGCCUGAAACACUCUCUCAAAGAUUCCUCCAAAAUAUCAGAGAUGGAUUCUGUGUCAGGUUCAUCUUCUGAUGUUGAGAAA